UCGUAGAGGGUGAGAAUCCCGUCUUUGACACGGACUACCAGCGCUUUGUGAUGCGCUCUCANCGAGUCGAGUUGUUUGGGAAUGCAGCUCAAAAUGGGUGGUAAAUUCCAUCUAAAGCUAAAUACAGGCGAGAGACCGAUAGCGAACAAGUACCGUGAGGGAAAGAUGAAAAGCACUUUGGAAAGAGAGUUAAACAGUACGUGAAAUUGCUGAAAGGGAAACGCUUGAAGUCAGUCGCGUCUGCCAGGACUCANCCUCGCUUCUGCUUGGUGCACUUUCUGGUUGACGGGCCAGCAUCGAUUUCGAUCGUCAGAAAAAGUUGGAGGGAAUGUGGCNCCUUUCGAGGUGUGUUAUAGCCCUCCAUCGCAUAUGACGGUUGGGAUCGAGGACCGCAGCACGCCUUUAUGGCUGGGNCUUUGCUCUCAUACGUGCUUAGGAUGCUGGCUUAAUGGCUUUAANCGACC
RNAcentral lists this ribosomal RNA (464 nucleotides) under uncultured fungus. Its description in RNAcentral is "eukaryotic LSU rRNA". It matches the Rfam family "Eukaryotic large subunit ribosomal RNA", at positions 202 to 649 of the family's 3401-position model. The record is from RNAcentral. Lineage: Eukaryota; Fungi.